AUCUAGCUGAUGAGUCCCAAAUAGAACGGGAAGUGCAUCUUAGAU
RNAcentral lists this non-coding RNA (45 nucleotides) under Schistosoma margrebowiei. Lineage: Eukaryota; Metazoa; Platyhelminthes; Trematoda; Strigeidida; Schistosomatidae. The record is from RNAcentral.